RNAcentral lists this long non-coding RNA (327 nucleotides) under Manihot esculenta (cassava). Its description in RNAcentral is "long non-coding RNA (MESC_LNC002282)". The record is from RNAcentral. Lineage: Eukaryota; Viridiplantae; Streptophyta; Magnoliopsida; Malpighiales; Euphorbiaceae.
UAAUAAUAAAAUAUAGCUAGUAUGAUUAUUGAUUGAUAAUCAUGAGAUGAUUAUGUAUAUGUUGAUAUAAUUCAAUAAUCAUAGAUACUUGUUAGAGAACAAAGUAUUGGAUGGACCCGCACUGAGAUCACUACAUGGGUUAUUGUCAUAAGUGAAUCUCAAAGUAGUUAUGUCUUAAUCCUUUGACUUGAGAUUGUCAUAGUUUCCAACAUGAGGACUAUUAUGUUUUGACAUAACCAAACAUUGUCUUUAAUCGGACAAUCAUAAAGGUUAUGAUUGAGCAUAAUAGAAAUUAUGUAGAGGAUAAUGAACAAUCAAGAUAGGAUU